ACUCGUUAAACAUUAGCGACGUAUCCAAAGGGGAGUGUGUAGCUAGUUAGGUACUUCUUAGGCCUACUCUUAAGAUCCCCUAUCCUGUGAACUUUCGCUGGCCGUAUGUCUGUUCCCAGGAUGACCUGCCAAUGGGGGGAGAAUGCUGCCCCAACACCCAAGAUUGGCACCCGACGAGGGCCUCAGUCCAGCACAGUCUUUCAUCCAGGACAGACGUCCAAGCCAGCCUGCCAAUAGGCCUAACAAAUGGGCGCUAACUGGUGCGCCCUGAACUCUGACAAAGCCGACGCUAUAUAUAUUUGCUGAGUCCGUGCUAUGUCUCCUCGCACAGAGGCGCUUCCUUACCGCUAGAUACCAUCAAUUUUGGAAACCAGCCUUGCAGCAGUAUUUGAUCUUGGCCAGUUUUUUUUAUAUUGGGCAUGAUAAGAGUGUUCCAAACAGUAUACAGCACUCUCCCCACGUGGCUAUAUGCAUUGUCUUUAUCUCAGGCCAUUCAAUGUUGCUUGUAAAUAAAUAAGUGCUCCAUUUUCCA
Molecule: long non-coding RNA, 532 nt
Organism: Macrobrachium nipponense
Lineage: Eukaryota; Metazoa; Arthropoda; Malacostraca; Decapoda; Palaemonidae
Exons: 2
Source: RefSeq, a predicted model, not a curated record